UCAGACGAUGCGUCAUGCAUAUCAAUAAGCGGAGGAAAAGAAACUAACAAGGAUUCCCCUAGUAACGGCGAGUGAAGCGGGAAGAGCUCAAAUUUGAAAUCUUAAAGGGUUUCCCUUUACGAAUUGUAGUUUAAAGAAGUGUUUUCUGUUGAGGUUUUGGUAAAAGUUCUUUGGAAUAGGACAUCAUAGAGGGUGAGAAUCCCGUAUUUGACCUUUACUUUCAACUUUGUGAUACACUUUCAAAGAGUCGGAUUGUUUGGGAAUGCAGUCCAAAAUGGGUGGUAAAUUUCAUCUAAAGCUAAAUAUUGGCGAGAGACCGAUAGCGAACAAGUACCGUGAGGGAAAGAUGAAAAGAACUUUGAAAAGAGAGUUAGACAGUACGUGAAAUUGUCAAAAGGGAAGCGUUUGACACCAGUGUUGUUUUUCUGAAAAUCAAUUAAAGAACUGUUUAUGCUAAGUUGUUUAGACUUUAUCAGCUAAUCUGUUUAGUUUUGAGCUUUUCUUUAAUGCACUUUUCAGUUAACAAGUCAACAUCAAUUUCUUUUGCUGUAAAAAAGCUUGAGGAAGGUGGCUUGAGAUUCGUCUUAAGUGUUUAUAGCCUCUUGCCUAUGCAGUCGGAGCGAUUGAGGUCUGCAGCGUAGAUCCUUCGGGGCUAAAUGCAUUUGUGCUAAGUUAUAGCAUUUUAUAGACAACUUGUUGACUAUGAUUUGUCUUGUAGCUUACUCGCUUAUGUUAUUUUACCUACGCUUAGGAUGUUGAAUCUGUGCGAGACUAC
Molecule: ribosomal RNA, 775 nt
Filed under: uncultured Neocallimastigales
Lineage: Eukaryota; Fungi; Neocallimastigomycota; Neocallimastigomycetes; Neocallimastigales
Description: partial large subunit ribosomal RNA
Rfam family: Eukaryotic large subunit ribosomal RNA
Source: RNAcentral